GAUCAUGGCUCAGGACGAACGCUGGCGGCGUGCUUAACACAUGCAAGUCGAACGAAGAGGCUUGGAAGCUUGCUUCUGAGAAUCUUAGUGGCGAACGGGUGAGUAACGCGUAAUCAACCUGCCCUUCAGAGGGGGACAACAGUUGGAAACGACUGCUAAUACCGCAUACGAUCCAAUCUCGGCAUCGAGGAUGGAUGAAAGGUGGCCUCUAUUUAUAAGCUAUCACUGAAGGG
This 233-nucleotide ribosomal RNA is filed under the name uncultured bacterium. Its description in RNAcentral is "partial 16S ribosomal RNA". It matches the Rfam family "Bacterial small subunit ribosomal RNA", at positions 15 to 225 of the family's 1533-position model. The record is from RNAcentral.